RNAcentral lists this transfer RNA (50 nucleotides) under Platypalpus agilis. RNAcentral's name for it is "tRNA-Val". The record is from RNAcentral. Lineage: Eukaryota; Metazoa; Arthropoda; Insecta; Diptera; Hybotidae.
CAAUUUAAAGCUUAUUUAGUAAAGUAUUUCAUUUACAUUGAAAAGAUUGU